AAAGCUUCUCGGCCUUUUGGCUAAGAUCAAGUGUAGUGUAAAGAUGCUAAAGCAAAGAUUAUGGGAUAAUGCACAUAGUGACUUGCGAUCUCGAUCACACGUAGUCUGUAGUCUGCUGGCAGUAGGAGUACAAUAUGG
Podarcis lilfordi (Lilford's wall lizard) is the source of this 138-nucleotide non-coding RNA. The record is from the annotation of a GenBank genome assembly. Lineage: Eukaryota; Metazoa; Chordata; Lepidosauria; Squamata; Lacertidae.